UACAGAGGGUGCGAGCGUUAAUCGGAAUUACUGGGCGUAAAGGGCGUGUAGGUGGAUUUAUAAGUUUGAUGUGAAAGCCCCGGGCUUAACCUGGGAAUUGCGUUGAAGACUGUAAGACUAGAGUUGGACAGAGGGUAGUGGAAUUUCCGGUGUAGCGGUGAAAUGCGUAGAGAUCGGAAAGAACACCCGUGGCGAAGGCGGCUACCUGGGUUCAAACUGACACUGAGGCGCGAAAGCGUGGGGAGCGAACAGG
Molecule: ribosomal RNA, 253 nt
Filed under: uncultured bacterium
Lineage: Bacteria
Description: partial 16S ribosomal RNA
Rfam family: Bacterial small subunit ribosomal RNA
Source: RNAcentral